Long non-coding RNA from Cavia porcellus (domestic guinea pig), 3796 nucleotides. RefSeq lists it as uncharacterized. The record is from RefSeq and is a predicted model, not a curated record. The transcript has 2 exons. Lineage: Eukaryota; Metazoa; Chordata; Mammalia; Rodentia; Caviidae.
GCAAGGACCUGAAAAACCUGCCGCGUGGGCAGGAGGGAACCGACUGAGAGUCUGCCCAGGUUGCACAGCUCCUUGUUAUUCAGGUUUGAUAUGCAGGUGGCGACUUCUGAGAGUCCCUUGGAACCUGCUGGUCGAUAUCUUCUUGCUGCUGUCGUCCUUCUUAGCUAGAAUGACAUUUCCAUGAUGGCAAAGACCUUGACUGCCAUGUGCCCCGUUCCUGUCACAGCAGGUGCUCAGUAAGCACAUGCUCACUGCUCAGUUCCGAAUUCCGUUGGAGACUUUGCAACCCAACAGACAGGGUUUGGCAGAUGCAUUCUUUUGUUCUUGCAUAAUGCAUUGGCUUCAAGGUGAUUCUCUUUAUCCAGCAUAUCACAGAGAUGAAACUCAAAGUGGCUGAAACCGUGAAGCAGUUUUUACAUCACUGAAGAAUGCUGUAGGUAUGUGGGUUUGGUUCUUCAGGGGUUCAUUGCCUGACUUGAGCUAACUAUAUUAGCUCUCUCUAUGCUUUUCUUUCUUUUUUUUCAAGAAAAGUUUGCUUCACCACUCAGCAAAAAGAAAACUACUUAAUUCAUAAGCAAGGGAAGUAGCUGGCUGCUAUGGGUUUUCCCCUGUAGGCUGGCCCUUGUUUUUUCCCAUCUCCAGAGUCCCAGGGAUCAGUACACAUUCUGUUAGCCUCUUGUCUUCUGCACCAAAUGGGAUCAGUGAUGCUGCUGAUUUCUUAUAAAAAUCGUACCCAGUACUCAUAAAAUAUGGCAAAGCAGCCUGUACUGGUUUUAGGCUCGUUUUCCUAUUCCUCCUUUUGUCUUAGAUUUCAGUAGAAUUUUACUAACCCCGUGUUUGCAUCUGUUUCUGCCUAGGAACUGCAGCCACUGCCUGGGACAAGCAAACCACAGUCACAGUGCUCAUGGUCUUUUUUCUUCUAGGUAUUAAGAAACACAACAUGUACCUGCAAAUCAGUCAUUUCUUUCCUUCUGUUUGCUGUUCCAGUUUUUCCUCACUGUAGGUGUUGGGAACACUUUUCUCCAUGGUCACAGAUCACAAAAAAUAGGAGAAAGGAAGGGGUGAGCCAGAUGUUCUGCUCUAUCAACAAUGCCCAGGAAAAGAUAGAUACUCCAGAUGUGUUUGCUGAGUGACUGGAAAAAUGAUGGGAAGGGAAGAGUGAGGGCUUUUCAAUCUGGUGGGUUGGGUUCAAGUGCCAGUCAGCGUUUGUGUUUACCAGUUAUGUGACCCAAGUCAACUUACAUUUCUCCUCUGAGCCUAUAUGUAAAAUGGGAACAUGGUAUUUAGCUCAUAGGUUUGGUGCAAGGAGUAACAUUAAUGUGGAGGAAGCCCUUAGCAGUAAUGCCUAGGAGGCUGGCCCAAUUGAUGGUCGCCAAUGCUGGAGUUACAACCAGGAGCCCAUGGAGAUGCCCAUGCAAAUAGGUGAACAGAAAGCCCCCCACUGCCACAGCCAAUUACACAGAGGGCAGUGAGACUGGACGGUGGGAGCAGCUACUUUCUCCCUACUUACCGCUAGUGUAGGAAGCUGGUUCCUGAAAACUUAAGCCUCGGGGCUGGGGAUUUAGCUCUGUGGCAUAAAAGCCUGCCUUGCAAGCCUGUGGUCGUGAGUUCGAUCCCCAGUACUGAUAAAAAAAAAAAAAAAAACUAAGCCUCCCAGGAUUCAAAUCUGAUCUUUGUAGAAUAAGAGAGGAACGGGGUACCCAGACAAGGGAAUCACGGUUGAAGCUAUGAACUUAUGGACCAACUGAGUCCCUGAGGAAGGUGUGGAAGUUCUCACCUACCAAGGUCUCUUCCUGGCUACCCUGGCCAGGCCUGCAGCAGUGUGGGGAGCAGAAGGGAAAUGGCAGAUGUGACAGAGAACCAGGACAACAAAGGGGCCCACACACAGAGCAUGGAGGCAUCUCCCUCAGCUCCUUUCGACAGAAGAGUUCUCGAGUUCCUUGAUGAGGAGGCUGUGGAAGUUAUGACAUGAUUACACUUCUUUCCUGGUGGUUGUUGUGGAUAUAGCAGUGAUGCAGUCAUCCUUUCGGUGAACUGUGCAUGCUCCAUUCAGAGCAUGGAUCCCACUGUCUUACCUAAGCCACCUGCUGUUUCUGAGCUGAGGUCAGUUGAUGCCUGGAGGUGGGUAUUAACAGAAGCCAUCCUGUCUGCUGUGGCCCAUGGUGCCUUUGCUCUGCUGCUGCCCAUCCAGAGUGUCUCAGCCUUCCUUGUCAUCUAGAGUCUAAUGAAGGUGGAGGUCCCAAGCCUUGUGCUCCUUUGUCAUCCAGUGUGGCAAAAGGCUGGAGGAGGGGAGAAUCCUUGAUAACAAGGAGGGGACACCACCUGUCCACGGAGUGGGGUUGAGAUUUCUUCACCCACAAAUACCUCAUUCUUCUCUGAAGCACCAGGGCUUCUGGCUGCCGUCAGGAGCUGCCUGAGAAGAAACAUGGUGACCUUCCCCGGAGGGAUAGGGUGGCCUCCACAGGAUGAUGGGUGGGUGAUCCGGCUGCGGAUCAAUCCAUGGGUCUCACCUGGAGAGGGGAUCGGGGAUGGAGGCAGGGCAAGAGAAAAGAGAGAUAGAGGCUUGGCGAAAUUCCGGUCAAAUCUCUUUAUUUUUAAAAAUGACUACAGCUUAUAUAGGGUGGAGGCUGGCUUCAGGUCAGGGUCAAUGUACCCUAUCAGGGAUCUGGUCUAGGUCCCCAGUCUCCCAAAUGAGUGUACAGCAAAGGCUUAAAAUAAAUGAGACAAGUGGUAUGAUUUUAGGACUCCAGGAGGGUCAAAACCUCUGCAGAGUUCAAGACUCUGGUGGUUAAGAAAUGUUUUGUGGGUAGCCCAUAUUUAUUUUUUCAGUCAAGGAAGGGGUUAGAGUGGAAAACCAGGAAACUCAACAGGAUCUUGGGAGUGGUUUAAAAACUUUUCCAAAUAGCAGAUUAUGUUAAUUUAGGAGAAGUAUCUUGACCUUGAGUAUAAUCUUGAGAUGACUCAUGAAGACAUAGAUGAUUUUAUGCUAAGGAGAGUUAAUGUGAGAUCUCAGAUGGAUGGUACUAAUAAUCCCAGUUCUUCCUUUUAUCCCAUAAGAAAAUAUGUAAACCAGUCACUGUGAAUUUGUGGUCCCCAGCACUGCUCAAUCAUAAUCCCCUAGCUCUUGGGUGAGGAGAGUCCCACAGUCACUACUGAAACCCAAGGAUGCCCCGAGCUCACAGCAAGCAGCAAGUUGAGAGCUGGAAGAAAAUAUGCAGUCUCAGGGCAACAAGCUUGCCUGACUGGGCCACCACAGGUCACGCUGUUACAGGCUAGUUAGAAAUAUUAUAGGCAGUCAGACAGGGCUAGGCCUUUGAAGAAACUAGUGAAAUGACCAAAUGUCUUGUGAUCUUGGGAGUCACACACCUCUUGCUGUGGGCCAGAUUUCAAGACAAAGGGCAAAACAAAUGCAACCACACCCUAAGUAUAAGCAUUAGGGGUUAGGUAUGGAUGACCUUGAGAAGCCAGGAGUCACCAUUCCAACCCCCUACAGCAAGAGUCACUGAUCCAUAAGCAUGCUCACUUUGCUACAUGUCUUGUUUCCCCAUUUGUCCCUAAUUUGGUCAAUUCUACCUGAACAACUAAUCUGAUUGAUUGAUCAUAGUUCUGUCCCACCCAUGCUCAUUUGCCUUGCAAGUUCCCAGGUUUCCCCACUUUAAACCUGCCUCCCUUCAUGGUUUUACUCUAUAAAAAUCUCUAGAAAAGACAGAAUCUUUGGCAAACCACUUGGGACUCCUUGUGUCUCUUUCCCUCAAACAGAAGCUUUUUUUCUCUCAAUAAAUGUUUCUGUUCUUAA